Molecule: ribosomal RNA, 926 nt
Filed under: uncultured Bacteroidota bacterium
Lineage: Bacteria; Pseudomonadati; Bacteroidota
Description: bacterial SSU rRNA
Rfam family: Bacterial small subunit ribosomal RNA
Source: RNAcentral
UGGAUCCAGACUUUGAUUAUGGCUCAGGAUGAACGCUAGCUACAGGCUUAACACAUGCAAGUCGAGGGGAAACGACAUCGAAAGCUUGCUUUUGAUGGGCGUCGACCGGCGCACGGGUGAGUAACGCGUAUCCAACCUGCCCACCACUUGGGGAUAACCUUGCGAAAGUAAGACUAAUACCCAAUGAUAUCUCUAGAAGACAUCUGAAAGAGAUUAAAGAUUUAUCGGUGAUGGAUGGGGAUGCGUCUGAUUAGCUUGUUGGCGGGGUAACGGCCCACCAAGGCGACGAUCAGUAGGGGUUCUGAGAGGAAGGUCCCCCACAUUGGAACUGAGACACGGUCCAAACUCCUACGGGAGGCAGCAGUGAGGAAUAUUGGUCAAUGGGCGAGAGCCUGAACCAGCCAAGUAGCGUGCAGGAUGACGGCCCUAUGGGUUGUAAGCUGCUUUUAUAAGGGAAUAAAGUGAGUCUCGUGAGACUUUUUGCAUGUACCUUAUGAAUAAGGACCGGCUAAUUCCGUGCCAGCAGCCGCGGUAAUACGGAAGGUCCGGGCGUUAUCCGGAUUUAUUGGGUUUAAAGGGAGCGUAGGCCGGAGAUUAAGCGUGUUGUGAAAUGUAGACGCUCAACGUCUGCACUGCAGCGCGAACUGGUUUCCUUGAGUACGCACAAAGUGGGCGGAAUUCGUGGUGUAGCGGUGAAAUGCUUAGAUAUCACGAAGAACUCCGAUUGCGAAGGCAGCUCACUGGAGCGCAACUGACGCUGAAGCUCGAAAGUGCGGGUAUCGAACAGGAUUAGAUACCCUGGUAGUCCGCACGGUAAACGAUGGAUGCCCGCUGUUGGUCUGAAUAGGUCAGCGGCCAAGCGAAAGCAUUAAGCAUCCCACCUGGGGAGUACGCCGGCAACGGUGCAACUCAAAGGAAUUGACGGA